Triplophysa rosa is the source of this 195-nucleotide small nuclear RNA. RefSeq annotates it as U2 spliceosomal RNA. The transcript has a single exon. NCBI's taxonomy places the organism in Eukaryota, Metazoa, Chordata, Actinopteri, Cypriniformes, Nemacheilidae. The record is from RefSeq and is a predicted model, not a curated record.
AUCGCUUCUCGGCCUUUUGGCUAAGAUCCAAGUGUAGGUAUGCGUGUUCUUAUCAGUUUAAUAUCUGAUACGUCCCCUAUAUGGGGACCAUAUAUUAAAUGGAUUUUUGAAGCGCGGAGCUGGAAGCGGGGCUUGCUCCGCCCACUCCACGCAUCGACCUGGUAUUGCAGUGUUUCCAGGAACGGUGCACUCCCC